GGGGCUGAUUAUGGAUUUGACAAAGUUAUAAAACUCUAAGAGCAUGUCAAGGUACGGUAGGCCUUGUAAAAAAACCGUAUAAAAUAGUUGCAAAUAAUCAAAAUUACGCUUUAGCAGCAUAAAAAACUGUAGGAGCCCUAUUACUUAUUAUUUUCUCUUUGAUGAAAAGUAAAUAGGUCAUAAAUAAAAGAGAUCGUAUAUAAAUUAAUCUAAGAUAAAUAUACUAAAGUAGUAUAUUAGAAUAUAUAAUAUAUAACUUUGUUUUAUCAGUUUAUAUUAAUGAAUUUUAUAAGAUAAAACUAAACAUGUAGUUCUGAAAGUGUAAUAAUUUUGGACGGGGGUUCAAAUCCCCCCAGCUCCAAUA
RNAcentral lists this transfer-messenger RNA (364 nucleotides) under Enterobacteriaceae (enterobacteria). RNAcentral's name for it is "GCA-012562765 sp012569045 Standard tmRNA". It matches the Rfam family "transfer-messenger RNA". From Rfam's summary of the family: Bacterial tmRNA, also known as 10Sa RNA or SsrA, is named for its dual tRNA and mRNA-like properties. Its role is to liberate the mRNA from a stalled ribosome. To accomplish this part of the tmRNA is used as a reading frame that ends in a translation stop signal. RNAcentral also lists the same sequence under 1 other name. The record is from RNAcentral. Lineage: Bacteria; Pseudomonadati; Pseudomonadota; Gammaproteobacteria; Enterobacterales.